Molecule: ribosomal RNA, 504 nt
Filed under: uncultured bacterium
Lineage: Bacteria
Description: partial 16S ribosomal RNA
Rfam family: Bacterial small subunit ribosomal RNA
Source: RNAcentral
AUUGAACGCUGGCGGCAGGCCUAACACAUGCAAGUCGAGCGGUAGCACAGAGAGCUUGCUCUCGGGUGACGAGCGGCGGACGGGUGAGUAAUGUCUGGGAAACUGCCUGAUGGAGGGGGAUAACUACUGGAAACGGUAGCUAAUACCGCAUAACGUCGCAAGACCAAAGAGGGGGACCUUCGGGCCUCUUGCCAUCAGAUGUGCCCAGAUGGGAUUAGCUAGUAGGUGGGGUAACGGCUCACCUAGGCGACGAUCCCUAGCUGGUCUGAGAGGAUGACCAGCCACCCUGGAACUGAGACACGGUCCAGACUCCUACGGGAGGCAGCAGUGGGGAAUAUUGCACAAUGGGCGCAAGCCUGAUGCAGCCAUGCCGCGUGUAUGAAGAAGGCCUUCGGGUUGUAAAGUACUUUCAGCGGGGAGGAAGGUGUUGAGGUUAAUAACCUCAGCAAUUGACGUUACCCGCAGAAGAAGCACCGGCUAACUCCGUGCCAGCCGCCGCCGUAA